Long non-coding RNA from Hemiscyllium ocellatum (epaulette shark), 855 nucleotides. RefSeq lists it as uncharacterized. The record is from RefSeq and is a predicted model, not a curated record. Lineage: Eukaryota; Metazoa; Chordata; Chondrichthyes; Orectolobiformes; Hemiscylliidae. The transcript has 2 exons.
GUAUUAAUGCACAAGAACAGGCAAUGAGUAACGGGAAUGUGAACAAUCCUUCCCAUUGCCACAUGCAGAAGAUAAAAGUGAGACUCCGAGCCAAGAGAGGAUCCGCCUUCCUGUCCUAAGGAAGGGUCACCGGACCCGCAACGUUAACUCUGGUUUGGCUGCACAGAUGCCGCCAGACCUGCUGAGUUUUUCCAGCAACUUCUGUUUACGAUUGCCCUUCCUGAAUCCCUUGACUCUGUUUAAACAUUCAGGUCUGCAAAAGCUGACCCUGUUAGGAAGCUGAGAUAGCAAUGCGCUGUGGGCUGGAUGGGCGAGCGAGGAUUAUGUGGCGAGAGAGAGAGAGAGAUAGCCGGACAAUGAUGUGAAGCAUGGCUCCGCUGCGCCUCGGGGAAUGGAGGAACUGGAUAGGCAACAAUUAUUUUAAUUGGAGGAGUCUCCUUUCAUCACUGAGUUCAGAGUUAGAUCAGUUACUACAGGAAUCUGGUAUCAUGGAUGGCAACUACAUGUCCCCUCCAGCAGAGCUGUUUUUGACUGAUAAGCCCCUCCCUUCUGGGCAAAUUGGAAUUGGAUGUUGCUGUUGGACUGACUGCCUUGCAACUGGGCAGAAGUGGGCAGAUGCUGGAAAUCAGAGUCUUGAUUAGAGUGGUGCUGGAAAAGCAUAGCAGGUCAGGCAGCAUCCCGAGGGAGCAGGAAAAUCGACGUUUCGGGCAAAAACCCUUCAUCAGCAAUGGAACUGUUGUAGUCAAACAUUGAGGUGGUUUGUUUUCCAAUGUGUACUACAGUAUACUUCAGGUGAGAGGUAUCAUCAGGAUUCCAAUAUCAGAUGUGAGCCCAAUAAAUGGUUUCUUGACACUC